CCCUUAGAUGUUCUGGGCUGCACGCGUGCUACAAUGAAGCGUCCAACAAGAUGCGAAGCCGAAAGGCUCAGCGGAUCUUUGAAGUCGUUUCGUGACCGGGACAGUUGAUUGCAAUUAUUCGACUCGAACGAGGAAUUCCUUGUAAUCGCGAUUCAUCAUAUCGCGCUGAAUACGUCCCUGCCCUUUGUACACACCGCCCGUCGCUCCUACCGAUUGAGCGAUCCGGUGAAUUAUUUGGAGUGUCCACGCAAGCCAAUCCGUUUACGUGGGUGCGAAAUUUUGUAAACCUUAUCGCUUAGAGGAAGGAAAANUCGUAGCA
Molecule: ribosomal RNA, 319 nt
Filed under: uncultured eukaryote
Lineage: Eukaryota
Description: partial 18S ribosomal RNA
Rfam family: Eukaryotic small subunit ribosomal RNA
Source: RNAcentral